AGAUCAGGAAGUAAAGCUGACAAGAUAGCUAGCACCAGAGCUUGCUACUAUCUUCAGGAAAAUCGCUAUAAACACUUAUAAAAGGUUGUGUGCUAAUUGCAAUAUUGGCCGGGACGCGCCGAGUAGCAGUGCAAAAGGGGAGAGGUGAUAUGUUACUUGCCAAAUGGGAAGCAGCUACCGUUCAACACACUGGAAGAAGUAAGUUAAAUUGCCUUUAAUGUACAAUAUUACACUGAUUUAAAAAUCUACUUGUUCAAAUGUAGGUUGGAAAGUUUUAUUUUCUUUUUUAGCAAGCCACUACUGUUGUCUAUUGUGUUUUAAUAAUCUUUUCUAUGUUUUCUGGUAGUGCAGUUUUUGGUUGUUGGUGCAAGUCAGGGUACCCGGCACCUAGUAGGAUCAACAUUCAGUGUUUGGGACAGAAGAAAGCAAAUAGCAGUAUUCACCUUCGCUCGCCAAUCUCAGUCUUAUUGUUGUUAAUGCUGAAAAUUCCAUGUCCAGUCAGGAAUAAAGACCCACAUAAAAUGUUAUGCUUGGUCCAGUCCUACUGUCCAAGCUUUAGUUCUACCCGCCCCAAAGGUAGAUCCAAAGACCUGCCAUAGAACAUGUUGAUACCCAGGUGUAGGACUCAAAGCUGCCAUAAUUUACUCCUUAAGUCCCAAAAUCUCUCCAUCUUCCUCCUGCAAAUCGGACCACAACACCAUAUUCCCAAUCACAACCCUGUUAUUGCUUCUGUUGAAAGUGGACACUCUGGUAUCAUCUCCUAACUAUGUACUCCUAACUAUGAUGGUUACCUCAAAGAAUGGAACUUAAACUUGAGUGACAGCAGCUUUGAAGGUUUUUUUUUAUAUACUCAGAAUGAUAAAUAUCUACUUUCCACCUCAAAGCCUCACCGCAAACAUGAUAUUUUACCUGGUAUUGCACCCAAGAUUAUCUGAAGCAUCUUACAUCACUUCAUCUCAACAUGUCAUCAGAGUGUUGCUGUUAGAUAUCAUUAGGAACAUUUCACAUUUCCCAAAGCCUCAACAACAUCUGGAUGAAGUCAGCCUAUGUUACAUCUUUGACAAUGACCUCCCAGAUAAUUGGAGGCACUGGUUUGACUAAAGGUCAAGUGGUUAGCGCGCAGGCCACACAGCUAGGAGACCCGAGUUAGAUUCCACCAUUGGCCAUUUCUGUGUGGAGUUUGCAUGUUCUCCCCGUGCAUGCGUGGGUUUUCUCAGGGGAAUCCGGUUUCC
Doryrhamphus excisus (bluestripe pipefish) is the source of this 1232-nucleotide non-coding RNA. NCBI's taxonomy places the organism in Eukaryota, Metazoa, Chordata, Actinopteri, Syngnathiformes, Syngnathidae. The record is from RefSeq and is a predicted model, not a curated record.